This 24-nucleotide small nuclear RNA is filed under the name Arabidopsis thaliana (thale cress). RNAcentral describes it as "snRNA_19144". Lineage: Eukaryota; Viridiplantae; Streptophyta; Magnoliopsida; Brassicales; Brassicaceae. The record is from RNAcentral.
UCUGAAACAGUCCAGAAACGUCCU